Molecule: ribosomal RNA, 406 nt
Filed under: uncultured bacterium
Lineage: Bacteria
Description: bacterial SSU rRNA
Rfam family: Bacterial small subunit ribosomal RNA
Source: RNAcentral
UGGGGAAUAUUGGGCAAUGGGCGCAAGCCUGACCCAGCAACGCCGCGUGAGGGAAGAAGGUUUUCGGAUUGUAAACCUCUGUCCUUGAUGAAAAGAAGAAGAUGGUAAUCAAGGAGGAAGCCCCGGCUAACUACGUGCCAGCAGCCGCGGUAAUACGUAGGGGGCGAGCGUUGUCCGGAAUGAUUGGGCGUAAAGGGCGCGUAGGCGGCCAUUUAAGUCUGGAGUGAAAGUCCUGUUUUUAAGAUGGGAACUGCUUUGGAUACUGGAUGGCUUGAGUGCAGGAGAGGUUAUCGGAAUUCCCGGUGUAGCGGUGAAAUGCGUAGAGAUCGGGAGGAACACCAGUGGCGAAGGCGGGUAACUGGACUGCAACUGACGCUGAGGCGCGAAAGUGUGGGGAGCAAACAGG